Molecule: long non-coding RNA, 2901 nt
Organism: Acanthopagrus latus (yellowfin seabream)
Lineage: Eukaryota; Metazoa; Chordata; Actinopteri; Spariformes; Sparidae
Exons: 4
Source: RefSeq, a predicted model, not a curated record
CGUCAGUACUAGCGGUGACCAGGAGUUUUACAGUGUAGCUCACGAGCCUGACGGGAAGUCAGUGAGGCAGGUGAGCAGGUGAGCCUAGUGGUUACCUCUUAUGACAGGUGAGCUUCACCAACUAAGUCAACGUGAGCUGGAGUUAAACAAGUAGUCAGUUAAUAGUUCAACCGUUUAACUGCCGGAGCCACGAGACCACCGGAAGUGCCCAGUUUGCUAAAGACGCGCUAAAUGUCGCGGUUUUAUUGAGCGAGAAGUUCCAAUGGAGAAGAUCCUACGAUACUGGUAGAUGGCGAGCCUCCCAGCUUGAUCUCUAGGAGCCAGGGUCUACAUUUCCACUGAACGAGCAGGAUGAACCAUCGUCUUUGUGUGUGUAACGCCCCUCACCAUCUGCAGCCGUCGCCUGCAACCUGUCACUCACCUGUCAGCUGUGUCAACACUCACCUCACACACGCUGGCGCACGCACACACUCAAAAGUGUUCUUUGUACCUGCCACUCUCUUCUUUGGGGUCCUUCUCAUCGAUGACUGCAAUCACCACCAAUUUGCCUGGAGGUGGCAGGACAGGGAUUACAAAUCACAAUCACACGCACAACAAAGAGAGGCUGAGAAGACAAUAGACGGGCAGAUAAGAGGCUUCGGAGGAGACGAAUCACCCCUCAACACCGGGGAAGAGAAAAGAGCGAGUCACCGGGAGCCCUUUAUUCAUUCAUCACUCAAAAACACUGAGCUACUAGCUAUGGCUUUUCUAGUUGGUUUAACAGGAAACAAGUGGUCACUUUCUGGUAGAAGAGCUAUUCUGGUGCCAUCCAAAACCCGAACCCACUAACAUGACAAAAAGGGCUACUUAAAAAAAAAAGGGUUACUAAAAAAGGUCUGUUAUUCAGACUUUUAUGGGUUGGAGGCUUGAACCCCCUUGUUAUGAGGACGAGAGUACCAGCCUGCCCCCUGGUGGCCUCUUGAUGGUGGUGAUGUGUCGAGGUUGAGGUUAUGUAAAGACAGCUGACGUUCUGGCAUCAUGGUGAGAGACAAAUUACAUUUUUUUUUGUGUGUGUGAUUAUAAAUGUUCCUUCACUGAGCAUUUGCAGUGAUUUUUAUUUUAGAGUUUUGUACUUUGAGCAUUUGGAGGCUUUUCCUGAGGGGCAGAUGGAGGAUAAUAUGUCUGAAAACCAGAUACACCAUAGAAUAUAAUACAACUAUUAAACUGUUAAUAAAUAAUUUCUGCUUUAAUCACCUACUAAUCUUCACCUCUGUCUGUUCUAUCCCUUGAAUUUGAAUUUUGACCAAUAAAUAGACGCCUUGUAUUUUAGAGUUUUGAGUCAGCACGACCUACGAUAAGUGUGACGGAGCUUUGAGAACAUUAAAGGAGAUAUUUUACCCUUACGUUGGGUCACUACUACAAUAGGUUUACAUGCUUUAAUGCUCAAAUUACUCAGUCAGUUUACUUCUACUUCUACAUCUACAUUCCCCACACUCUGUUUCAGUCCCGACACACCUGAUCAUCCACUGCUAACAGCAACAUACCAGCUCCAUUAAAUGAAUUCCAGCAUACAAAACCUGCCGCCAGUCAUAAAUUAUGCAAAUAUAGCGACAUGGUGACAUAGUGUGAUGUCACAAAGUAACGGAAAUAAAAGGCGGGACUACUGCGAAGGACUUUCAGGAGUUGUGUAUUAUGUUGGAGAGACUUUUUAAACUUUCAAGAUGUUUUACAUGCACAGGAACCUGCAUAAAGCACUGAAGUACAGGGUAAACAAACAAAAAAGCAUAAUAGGUCUGCUAUUAAACAUCACUCCACCACCACACAGUAAGACCAAGUGCAUGAAACCUGAUACUUAACUAAAAAGACUUCAGAGACGAGGCUGUUUCUAUUUAUUUUCGCAAAUUCUCUUCAAUCUGAACUCUGCUAAGUUAUUGUACCGGACUGAAUCCUCAGACUCUGUCCUCUUUAAUCAGUCACACAGGGUUUAUCCAAUUAAGAUGCUUUACAGACUCUUUUGUGUUCAGAACUAGCAACACUAAGCAGCAAAUGUGCUGUAAAUGGGUCAGGAACUGACUGUAAGCGGCGACAAAUGUAAGUAAAAUCCAACCGUUGGGCAUCACCGGCUCUCAGUAAACUGCACAUAAAUAGCUAAAAUACUGUGUCUAAUGUUAGAGAGCACAGCUUUCUCUGCACACAGCAGCUUCUAUUUACUGCCUUUAAAAGAGACACUGUGUAUUUCACUUGCUCGCUUUCCUGGAGAGAGAAAAGUGUAUGUAAAUAAAGUAUGGUCUAAAUCUGGAGGGAUUUCCUUCUGUCAAUUAACACUUGAUGUCUUUACAAGGAACUGUCGACAGGCGCUGCUGUAAAAUGACUGAUUUUUAAUCCCAAAGUCAAUCUGUGGUAGAUUGGAUAUGUGGCGGUGGGAAGCUAAAUAUUAGGGACUUUACUGUGACAUGGAAUUAAGGGGGCAGGCUGAGCAAAGCUGUGUGCACAGCGCUGAUGCACUUCACAUGACAUAUGCUGAUUCUCAGCAAGUUUGGCUCCAUAAUCAUUAAAAGUACAUAGGAGACAAGAGAUUCUGCUCAUUUAUGAAUCAUAAAUAUCUUAGAUGUUUCAAAUAUCUAUUGAUAUUGCAAUAAUAAAUAAUUAUAUAUAAUUAUAUUAUAAAUAUCAAGAAUGAUGUAGUGAAAAUCUGAUAUAAUGUCAGCCGACUAUUAGCUUAGUCUGCCAAGAUGAAGCCUUGGACAUUGGAAUAUUGAUAAUGAUAAUAUUUUGUUGCAGCCCUUUAAUUAAACUGCACUUAUAAAUUAUUCAUAGUUAUUUAAACAAGUCAUGAUCGUUUUGGAGAGAAACACACAUAAAACGUAGUUAAAAAAGGCCCAAAAAUAACUAAAAUGCAACUUGAAAGUGAAGAAGAAAUUC